This 258-nucleotide ribosomal RNA is filed under the name uncultured prokaryote. Its description in RNAcentral is "partial 16S ribosomal RNA". It matches the Rfam family "Bacterial small subunit ribosomal RNA", at positions 524 to 780 of the family's 1533-position model. The record is from RNAcentral.
UACGUAGGGUGCGAGCGUUGUCCGGAAUUACUGGGCGUAAAGAGCUCGCAGGUGGUUUGUCGCGUCGUCUGUGAAAUUCCGGGGCUUAACCUCGGGCGUGCAGGCGAUACGGGCAAUACUUGAGUGCUGUAGGGGAGACUGGAAUUCCUGGUGUAGCGGUGGAAUGCGCAGAUAUCAGGAGGAACACCGAUGGCGAAGGCAGGUCUCUGGGCAGUAACUGACGCUGAGGAGCGAAAGCAUGGGUAGCGAACAGGAUUA